CACGUGGACAACCUAACCUAUGGAGGGGGAUAACCCCGGGAAACUGGGGAUAAUACCCCAUAGACUAUAAAUGCUGGAAUGCUUUGUAGUUGAAAGGUCCGCCGCCAUAGGAUGGGUCUGCGGCCGAUUAGGUUGUUGUUGGGGUAACGGCCCAACAAGCCUGUAAUCGGUACGGGUUGUGGGAGCAAGAGCCCGGAGAUGGAUUCUGAGACACGAAUCCAGGCCCUACGGGGCGCAGCAGGCGCGAAAACUUUACAAUGCGGGAAACCGUGAUAAGGGAACUCCGAGUGCCCGUAAAAUCGGGCUGUCCAUCUGUGUAAAAAACAGGUGAAGAAAGGGCCGGGCAAGACCGGUGCCAGCCGCCGCGGUAAUACCGGCGGCUCGAGUGGUGGCCACUAUUACUGGGCUUAAAGCGUUCGUAGCUGGUCUGUUAAGUCUCUGGGGAAAUCUACUGGCUUAACCAAUAGGCGUCUCAGGGAUACUGGCAGACUAGGGACCGGGAGAGGUGAGGGGUACUCCAGGGGUAGGAGUGAAAUCCUGUAAUC
RNAcentral lists this ribosomal RNA (545 nucleotides) under uncultured archaeon. RNAcentral describes it as "bacterial SSU rRNA". It matches the Rfam family "Archaeal small subunit ribosomal RNA", at positions 97 to 647 of the family's 1478-position model. The record is from RNAcentral.